This 305-nucleotide ribosomal RNA is filed under the name uncultured bacterium. Its description in RNAcentral is "bacterial SSU rRNA". It matches the Rfam family "Bacterial small subunit ribosomal RNA", at positions 335 to 654 of the family's 1533-position model. The record is from RNAcentral.
UUCCCUACGGGACGCAGCAGUGGGGAAUAUUGGGCAAUGGGCGCAAGCCUGACCCAGCAACGCCGCGUGAAGGAAGAAGGCUUUCGGGUUGUAAACUUCUUUUAAGAGGGACGAAGGAAGUGACGGUACCUCUUGAAUAAGCCACGGCUAACUACGUGCCAGCAGCCGCGGUAAUACGUAGGUGGCAAGCGUUAUCCGGAUUUAUUGGGUGUAAAGGGCGUGUAGGCGGGGGCGCAAGUCAGAUGUGAAAACUCAGGGCUCAACCCUGAGCCUGCAUUUGAAACUGUGUUUCUUGAGUGCUGGAG